UGUAGAGUUUGAUCCUGGCUCAGAUUGAACGCUGGCGGCAUGCCUUACACAUGCAAGUCGAACGGUAACAGGUUAAGCUGACGAGUGGCGAACGGGUGAGUAAUGUAUCGGAACGUGCCCAGUCGUGGGGGAUAACUGCUCGAAAGAGCAGCUAAUACCGCAUACGACCUGAGGGUGAAAGCGGGGGAUCGCAAGACCUCGCGCGAUUGGAGCGGCCGAUAUCAGAUUAGGUAGUUGGUGAGGUAAAGGCUCACCAAGCCGACGAUCUGUAGCUGG
This 276-nucleotide ribosomal RNA is filed under the name Pteridomonas danica. Its description in RNAcentral is "partial Bacterial small subunit ribosomal RNA". It matches the Rfam family "Bacterial small subunit ribosomal RNA", at positions 1 to 290 of the family's 1533-position model. The record is from RNAcentral. Lineage: Eukaryota; Dictyochophyceae; Pedinellales.